UGGGGAAUUUUGGACAAUGGGCGAAAGCCUGAUCCAGCAAUGCCGCGUGUGUGAAGAAGGCCUUCGGGUUGUAAAGCACUUUUGUCCGGAAAGAAAUCCUUGGCUCUAAUACAGUCGGGGGAUGACGGUACCGGAAGAAUAAGCACCGGCUAACUACGUGCCAGCAGCCGCGGUAAUACGUAGGGUGCAAGCGUUAAUCGGAAUUACUGGGCGUAAAGCGUGCGCAGGCGGUUUGCUAAGACCGAUGUGAAAUCCCCGGGCUCAACCUGGGAACUGCAUUGGUGACUGGCAGGCUAGAGUAUGGCAGAGGGGGGUAGAAUUCCACGUGUAGCAGUGAAAUGCGUAGAGAUGUGGAGGAAUGCCGAUGGCGAAGGCAGCCCCCUGGGCCAAUACUGACGCUCAUGCACGAAAGCGUGGGGAGCAAACAGGAUUAGAUACCCUGGUAGUCCACGCCCUAAACGAUGUCAACUAGUUGUUGGGGAUUCAUUUCCUUAGUAACGUAGCUAACGCGUGAAGUUGACCGCCUGGGGAGUACGGUCGCAAGAUUAAAACUCAAAUGAAUUGACGGGGUCAUAGCUGUUUCCU
RNAcentral lists this ribosomal RNA (585 nucleotides) under uncultured bacterium. RNAcentral's name for it is "partial 16S ribosomal RNA". It matches the Rfam family "Bacterial small subunit ribosomal RNA", at positions 355 to 1375 of the family's 1533-position model. The record is from RNAcentral.